AAUAAUCUCAUUUUUUGUUUUUUCGUGUUUAACGUUUAACCAUUCGUUUUAUUUGAAAUUUUUUUACGAUUAAUAUUUUUAUUGUUACUAGAUGAUAAAAUAUGAAUAGUAUUUUAUACGUGAUUAUUUUUUUUAAGUUUUUAUAAAUUUUUCAAAUAAGAUGAAUGGUCAAACGUUGGACACGGAAAA
Molecule: microRNA precursor, 189 nt
Filed under: Oryza brachyantha (malo sina)
Lineage: Eukaryota; Viridiplantae; Streptophyta; Magnoliopsida; Poales; Poaceae
Description: MIR812 microRNA precursor family
Rfam family: MIR812 microRNA precursor family (bases 20-189)
Source: Rfam by way of RNAcentral